Molecule: ribosomal RNA, 1303 nt
Filed under: Phaeosphaeria spartinicola
Lineage: Eukaryota; Fungi; Ascomycota; Dothideomycetes; Pleosporales; Phaeosphaeriaceae
Description: eukaryotic LSU rRNA
Rfam family: Eukaryotic large subunit ribosomal RNA
Source: RNAcentral
AGUAACGGCGAGUGAAGCGGCAACAGCUCAAAUUUGAAAUCUGGCUCUUUUAGAGUCCGAGUUGUAAUUUGCAGAGGGCGCUUUGGCGUUGGCAGCGGUCCAAGUUCUUUGGAACAGGACGUCACAGAGGGUGAGAAUCCCGUACGUGGUCGCUAGCCUUGGCCGUGUAAAGCCCCUUCGACGAGUCGAGUUGUUUGGGAAUGCAGCUCUAAAUGGGAGGUAAAUUUCUUCUAAAGCUAAAUACUGGCCAGAGACCGAUAGCGCACAAGUAGAGUGAUCGAAAGAUGAAAAGCACUUUGGAAAGAGAGUCAAAUAGCACGUGAAAUUGUUGAAAGGGAAGCGCUUGCAGCCAGACUUGCCUGUAGUUGCUUAUCUAGACUUUUGUCUAGUGCACUCUUCUGCGGGCAGGCCAGCAUCAGUUUAGGCGGUUGGAUAAAGGUCUCUAUCACGUACCUCCCUUCGGGGUUGGCCUUAUAGGGGAGACGUCAUGCAGCCAGCCUGAACUGAGGUCCGCGCAUCUGCUAGGAUGCUGGCGUAAUGGCUGUAAGCGGCCCGUCUUGAAACACGGACCAAGGAGUCUAACAUCUAUGCGAGUGUUUGGGUGUCAAGCCCAGACGCGUAAUGAAAGUGAACGGAGGUGGGAACCUUUUAGGUGCACCAUCGACCGAUCCUGAUGUCUUCGGAUGGAUUUGAGUAAGAGCAUGGCUGUUGGGACCCGAAAGAUGGUGAACUAUGCUUGAAUAGGGUGAAGCCAGAGGAAACUCUGGUGGAGGCUCGCAGCGGUUCUGACGUGCAAAUCGAUCGUCAAAUUUGGGCAUAGGGGCGAAAGACUAAUCGAACUAUCUAGUAGCUGGUUCCUGCCGAAGUUUCCCUCAGGAUAGCAGUAACGUAUUCAGUUUUAUGAGGUAAAGCGAAUGAUUAGAGGCCUGGGGGUUGAAACAACCUUCACCUAUUCUCAAACUUUAAAUAUGUAAGAAGUCCUUGUUACUUGAUUGAACGUGGACACUUGAAUGUACCGUUACUAGUGGGCCAUUUUUGGUAAGCAGAACGGCGAUGCGGGAUGAACCGAACGCGGGGUUAAGGUGCCAGAAUAUACGCUCAUCAGACACCACAAAAGGUGUUAGUUCAUCUAGACAGCAGGACGGUGGCCAUGGAAGUCGGAAUCCGCUAAGGAGUGUGUAACAACUCACCUGCCGAAUGAACUAGCCCUGAAAAUGGAUGGCGCUCAAGCGUAUUACCCAUACCCCGCCGCCGGGGCAGAAUUUAAGCCCCGGCGAGUAGGCAGGCGUGGAGGCUCGUGACG